CCUACGGGAGGCAGCAGUGAGGAAUAUUGGUCAAUGGACGCAAGUCUGAACCAGCCAUGCCGCGUGCAGGAAGACGGCUCUAUGAGUUGUAAACUGCUUUUGUACGAGGGUAAACGCAGAUACGCGUAUCUGUCUGAAAGUAUCCUACGAAUAAGGAUCGGCUAACCCCGUUACAGCAGCCGCCGGAAUACGGAGGAUUCAAGCGUUAUCCGGAUUUGUUGGGGUUAAAGGGGGCGUAGGCGGUCGGAUAAGUUAGAGGUGAAAUCCCGAGGCUCAACUUCGGAAUUGCCUCUGAUACUGUUCGGCUAGAGAGGAGUUGCGGUAGGCGGAAUGUAUGGUGUAGCGGUGAAAUGCUUAGAGAUCAUACAGAACACCGAUUGCGAAGGCAGCUUACCAAGCUACUUCUGACGUUGAGGCACGAAAGCGUGGGGAGCAAACAGGAUUAGAUACCCGUGUAGUC
Molecule: ribosomal RNA, 460 nt
Filed under: uncultured bacterium
Lineage: Bacteria
Description: partial 16S ribosomal RNA
Rfam family: Bacterial small subunit ribosomal RNA
Source: RNAcentral